GCCCAGCCAGUCCAACCCCACUUUAAAGGGAGCAAGAGAUAGGAUGUUGCCCCUUGCAAGUAGAGACUGCAGCACUUGAGCAUGCAGGGAGGUAAUGAGAGAAGAGCAAGAAGAAAGAAGAUCCAUCUUGCUAGCAGACAGUCAGACUUCAGGAGUUCUGCGCUGCACUAGGGCUGAAGCCCAUUUUUUGUCUGCGCUAAGUCUGGAUUCUCAUCUGCCAAGUGGGGCCAGAGAGCCUAGCAUCCAAGGAUAGAGAGGAAAUCUUCUGGAGAACCUCAACAAGGUGAAACAAGGUAUGUAGAUCUCAUUAAAUGAUUAUCUUGUGUACUUGUGUCUUGUGUGCAUGGGCUUUGUCUGCU
RNAcentral lists this long non-coding RNA (359 nucleotides) under Phascolarctos cinereus (koala). RNAcentral describes it as "lncRNA (ENSPCIG00000027370.2)". The record is from RNAcentral. Lineage: Eukaryota; Metazoa; Chordata; Mammalia; Diprotodontia; Phascolarctidae.